Molecule: ribosomal RNA, 253 nt
Filed under: uncultured bacterium
Lineage: Bacteria
Description: partial 16S ribosomal RNA
Rfam family: Bacterial small subunit ribosomal RNA
Source: RNAcentral
GACGGAGGGUGCAAGCGUUAUUCGGAAUUAUUGGGCGUAAAGAGCGUGUAGGCGGCCGGUUAAGUCAGGUGUGAAAGCCCGGGGCUCAACUCCGGAAGGGCACUUGAAACUGGUCGGCUUGAGUUCGGGAGAGGGAAGCGGAAUUCCUGGUGUAGAGGUGAAAUUCGUAGAUAUCAGGAGGAACACCGGUGGCGAAGGCGGCUUCCUGGACCGAAACUGACGCUGAGACGCGAAAGCGUGGGGAGCAAACAGG